This 1432-nucleotide ribosomal RNA is filed under the name uncultured organism. RNAcentral describes it as "16S ribosomal RNA". It matches the Rfam family "Bacterial small subunit ribosomal RNA". The record is from RNAcentral.
GCUGGCGGCGUGCUUAACACAUGCAAGUCGAACGGAAAGGCCCUGCUUUUGUGGGGUGCUCGAGUGGCGAACGGGUGAGUAACACGUGAGUAACCUGCCCUUGACUUUGGGAUAACUUCAGGAAACUGGGGCUAAUACCGGAUAGGAGCUCCUGCUGCAUGGUGGGGGUUGGAAAGUUUCGGCGGUUGGGGAUGGACUCGCGGCUUAUCAGCUUGUUGGUGGGGUAGUGGCUUACCAAGGCUUUGACGGGUAGCCGGCCUGAGAGGGUGACCGGCCACAUUGGGACUGAGAUACGGCCCAGACUCCUACGGGAGGCAGCAGUGGGGAAUAUUGCACAAUGGGCGGAAGCCUGAUGCAGCAACGCCGCGUGCGGGAUGACGGCCUUCGGGUUGUAAACCGCUUUCGCCUGUGACGAAGCGUGAGUGACGGUAAUGGGUAAAGAAGCACCGGCUAACUACGUGCCAGCAGCCGCGGUGAUACGUAGGGUGCGAGCGUUGUCCGGAUUUAUUGGGCGUAAAGGGCUCGUAGGUGGUUGAUCGCGUCGGAAGUGUAAUCUUGGGGCUUAACCCUGAGCGUGCUUUCGAUACGGGUUGACUUGAGGAAGGUAGGGGAGAAUGGAAUUCCUGGUGGAGCGGUGGAAUGCGCAGAUAUCAGGAGGAACACCAGUGGCGAAGGCGAUUCUCUGGGCCUUUCCUGACGCUGAGGAGCGAAAGCGUGGGGAGCGAACAGGCUUAGAUACCCUGGUAGUCCACGCUGUAAACGGUGGGUACUAGGUGUGGGGUCCAUUCCACGGGUUCCGUGCCGUAGCUAACGCUUUAAGUACCCCGCCUGGGGAGUACGGCCGCAAGGCUAAAACUCAAAGGAAUUGACGGGGCCCCGCACAAGCGGCGGAGCAUGCGGAUUAAUUCGAUGCAACGCGUAGAACCUUACCUGGGUUUGACAUGGAUCGGGAGUGCUCAGAGAUGGGUGUGCCUCUUUUGGGGUCGGUUCACAGGUGGUGCAUGGCUGUCGUCAGCUCGUGUCGUGAGAUGUUGGGUUAAGUCCCGCAACGAGCGCAACCCUUGUUCACUGUUGCCAGCACGUUAUGGUGGGGACUCAGUGGAGACCGCCGGGGUCAACUCGGAGGAAGGUGGGGAUGACGUCAAGUCAUCAUGCCCCUUAUGUCCAGGGCUUCACGCAUGCUACAAUGGCUGGUACAGAGAGUGGCGAGCCUGUGAGGGUGAGCGAAUCUCGGAAAGCCGGUCUCAGUUCGGAUUGGGGUCUGCAACUCGACCUCAUGAAGUCGGAGUCGCUAGUAAUCGCAGAUCAGCAACGCUGCGGUGAAUACGUUCCCGGGGCUUGUACACACCGCCCGUCAAGUCAUGAAAGUUGGUAACACCCGAAGCCGGUGACCUAACCGUUGUGGGGGAGCCGUCGAAGGUGGGACUGGUGA